Molecule: ribosomal RNA, 309 nt
Filed under: Staphylococcus aureus
Lineage: Bacteria; Bacillati; Bacillota; Bacilli; Caryophanales; Staphylococcaceae
Description: bacterial SSU rRNA
Rfam family: Bacterial small subunit ribosomal RNA
Source: RNAcentral
CUACGUGCCAGCAGCCGCGGUAAUACGUAGGUGGCAAGCGUUAUCCGGAAUUAUUGGGCGUAAAGCGCGCGUAGGCGGUUUUUUAAGUCUGAUGUGAAAGCCCACGGCUCAACCGUGGAGGGUCAUUGGAAACUGGAAAACUUGAGUGCAGAAGAGGAAAGUGGAAUUCCAUGUGUAGCGGUGAAAUGCGCAGAGAUAUGGAGGAACACCAGUGGCGAAGGCGACUUUCUGGUCUGUAACUGACGCUGAUGUGCGAAAGCGUGGGGAUCAAACAGGAUUAGAUACCCUGGUAGUCCACGCCGUAAACGA